Long non-coding RNA from Melopsittacus undulatus (budgerigar), 772 nucleotides. RefSeq lists it as uncharacterized. The transcript is spliced from 3 exons. The record is from RefSeq and is a predicted model, not a curated record. NCBI's taxonomy places the organism in Eukaryota, Metazoa, Chordata, Aves, Psittaciformes, Psittaculidae.
UGGUUUCCUGCAGAUGGGUGUGUUGCAUUCCUGAAGCACACCUUAACCUUGUACUGAAUUCCUUUCGUGUUCUCUGAACACUCCUGCAUCUCCUGCCUCUUUGCCUGAGAGUGGCAGCAUGUUCUGAGUGUUCUUCACCCAAGUGGAGCUAUUUGAAAAGGAAAGAAUAAGCAAAGAAGAACAAAUGUGGGCAAGUAUUCUACAGUUACCAGCCAGGAGACAGGAUCAGGCUUGCAUCUUUGCUGUCAAAAAAUGGAAAUGACUGGACAGGAAUUGUGUCAGCAGAUAAUAUAGCCAGAGAAUACCAGUUCAAAUAUAUAGAAGAUGGUGGCAGAUAAAAGGACACAGACUGCACCAAAUAAAACACACCUUGAACCUGUGAAGAGGUAGAAGGACUUGAAGAUCUACUGCUCGAUUCUACAGCAUAUAUGUUUAAAGCAAGUGAGCUGGCACAGAGUUAUCUUCAAUUUUAAUACAUGCAUAAAUCAACUUUAGAAAGAGAGAAAACAGAAAUCACAAGUCUGAAUGGUUAACAUUUACUUAAGUUAUAUGCAGCUGAAGAAAGAGUGUCACAGUAGAGAGAAUUAAAUAACCUUUAUGCAAGACAGCACUUUUGCUCUACCUCUAUUAACCUACUAACUAAUCUUGUAUUUAUGAGUCAUCCAGAAGAAUGAUUAAUGAGCAAAUGGCUGCAAAAUAUCCACAGAAUAAAGAUCAUAUUUCUCUGCAGUUUGCCUUCUUUUUGAAGCAGUGCUUAUCCAAGACCUGCAAA